Salmo salar (Atlantic salmon) is the source of this 54-nucleotide non-coding RNA. NCBI's taxonomy places the organism in Eukaryota, Metazoa, Chordata, Actinopteri, Salmoniformes, Salmonidae. The record is from Rfam.
UGCACUCACUACUGUAUGUCGCUCUGGACAAGAGCGUCUGCUAAAUGACUAAAA